AUUGAACGCUGGCGGCAGGCCUAACACAUGCAAGUCGAGCGGUAACAGAAAGAAAGCUUGCUUUCUUUGCUGACGAGCGGCGGACGGGUGAGUAAUGCCUGGGAAUAUGCCUUAGUGUGGGGGAUAACUAUUGGAAACGAUAGCUAAUACCGCAUAACGUCUUCGGACCAAAGAGGGGGACCUUCGGGCCUCUCGCGCUAAGAUUAGCCCAGGUGGGAUUAGCUAGUUGGUGAGGUAAAGGCUCACCAAGGCAACGAUCCCUAGCUGGUCUGAGAGGAUGAUCAGCCACACUGGAACUGAGACACGGUCCGGACUCCUACGGGAGGCAGCAGUGGGGAAUCUUGGACAAUGGGGGCAACCCUGAUCCAGCCAUGCCGCGUGUGUGAAGAAGGCCUUCGGGUUGUAAAGCUCUGUCAGAGGGGAAGAAGACUAUUAGAUUAAGAGUUGAAUAGUUUGACGGUACCCUCAAAGGAAGCACCGGCUAACUCCGUG
This 492-nucleotide ribosomal RNA is filed under the name uncultured bacterium. Its description in RNAcentral is "bacterial SSU rRNA". It matches the Rfam family "Bacterial small subunit ribosomal RNA", at positions 30 to 507 of the family's 1533-position model. The record is from RNAcentral.